Molecule: ribosomal RNA, 825 nt
Filed under: Diaporthe tectonigena
Lineage: Eukaryota; Fungi; Ascomycota; Sordariomycetes; Diaporthales; Diaporthaceae
Description: eukaryotic LSU rRNA
Rfam family: Eukaryotic large subunit ribosomal RNA
Source: RNAcentral
CAACAGGGAUUGCCCUAGUAACGGCGAGUGAAGCGGCAACAGCUCAAAUUUGAAAUCUGGCCUCGGCCCGAGUUGUAAUUUGCAGAGGAUGCUUCUGGCGCGGUGCCUUCCGAGUUCCCUGGAACGGGACGCCACAGAGGGUGAGAGCCCCGUAUGGUCGGACACCAAGCCUGUGUGAAGCUCCUUCGACGAGUCGAGUAGUUUGGGAAUGCUGCUCUAAAUGGGAGGUAAAUCUCUUCUAAAGCUAAAUACCGGCCAGAGACCGAUAGCGCACAAGUAGAGUGAUCGAAAGAUGAAAAGCACCUUGAAAAGGGGGUUAAAUAGUACGUGAAAUUGUUGAAAGGGAAGCACUUGUGACCAGACUUGGGCCGGGCGGCUCAUCAGGGGUUCUCCCCUGUGCACUCCGCCCGGCACAGGCCAGCAUCGGUUCUCGUGGGGGGAUAAGACCGUCAGGAACGUAGCACCCUCCGGGGUGUGUUAUAGCCUGGCGGACGAUACCCCCGUGGGGACCGAGGUUCGCGCUCCGCAAGGAUGCUGGCGUAAUGGUCACCAGUGACCCGUCUUGAAACACGGACCAAGGAGUCGUCCAUUAGAGCGAGCGUUUGGGUGUAAAACCCGCACGCGUAAUGAAAGUGAACGCAGGUGAGAGCUUCGGCGCAUCAUCGACCGAUCCUGAUGUUCUCGGAAGGAUUUGAGUAAGAGUUUUAACGGACGGACCCGAAAGACAGUGAACUAUGCUUGUAUAGGGUGAAGCCAGAGGAAACUCUGGUGGAGGCUCGCAGCGGUUCUGACGUGCAAAUCGAUCGUCAAAUAUGAGCAUGGGGG